This 497-nucleotide ribosomal RNA is filed under the name uncultured bacterium. RNAcentral's name for it is "partial 16S ribosomal RNA". It matches the Rfam family "Bacterial small subunit ribosomal RNA", at positions 28 to 507 of the family's 1533-position model. The record is from RNAcentral.
GAUGAACGCUGGCGGCGUGCCUAAUACAUGCAAGUCGAGCGAACAGACGAGGAGCUUGCUCCUCUGACGUUAGCGGCGGACGGGUGAGUAACACGUGGAUAACCUACCUAUAAGACUGGGGUAACUUCGGGAAACCGGAGCUAAUACCGGAUAAUAUAUUGAACCGCAUGGUUCAAUAGUGAAAGACGGUUUUGCUGUCACUUAUAGAUGGAUCCGCGCCGCAUUAGCUAGUUGGUAAGGUAACGGCUUACCAAGGCGACGAUGCGUAGCCGACCUGAGAGGGUGAUCGGCCACACUGGGACUGAGACACGGUCCAGACUCCUACGGGAGGCAGCAGUAGGGAAUCUUCCGCAAUGGGCGAAAGCCUGACGGAGCAACGCCGCGUGAGUGAUGAAGGUCUUCGGAUCGUAAAACUCUGUUAUUAGGGAAGAACAAAUGUGUAAGUAACUAUGCACGUCUUGAUGGUACCUAAUCAGAAAGCCACGGCUAACUACGUG